GCUUUAUUGCUAAAAAAUGCUAACCAUCAUCUGAGCCUUCUUCAAGUCAUAAUCUUUUUGCUGGUGGACUGUCUUGCCUUGAUAUUGUGGCUGCUGACUGAUCAGGGUAGGGGUUGCUGGAAAGCUGGGUUGGCUGUGGCAGUUUCUUAAAAUAAGCCUAUAAGGAAGCUUGUCACAUCCAUUAACUCUUCCUUUCACUUGAACACAUAAGAGGUCAUCGUAGGGUGGUUUAUUGGCCCAAUUUCAAUCUUGUGUCGCAGGGAAUAGGGAGGCCCUGGGAGAGGGACAGAUGGAAGAACCUCUGAUUAGUAGAGCAGUCAGAAUACACAUAGCAUUUACCGAUCAAGUUCUCCAUCUUUUAAGGGUGCAUAGCACGCCAAAACAAUUAUGGGGGAACGGCAAGAUCACAGUUUGCCGUUAACAGAUACAAUCAUCCUGAAAAAGUUUAAGUUUUGAGUGAAUUACCAACAUGUGACACCAUAUGAGCCCAUGUGGUUAGAAAAAUGGCACUCGUAGCUUUGCUUGACUCAGGGUUGCCACAAAUCUUCAAUUUGUGAAAAAAAUGCAACGCCUGCAAAGUCUGAUAAAAGGAGAUACAUCUGGAAAUAGCUUCUGCCAUUCCCCUUCCAACUUAAAGCUUCUCUGGUUCUGGCUACAAGAAUUCAACAAAAAUUUCAGACUUUCGCAAGUCUCUGCUGUUUAUUUGGGUACCCUGGGCAAAAGGAUUGGCCUCUUUGACUGUUUCCUUAUCAGUAAGAUGGGGACAAUGCAGGGCUCUUUUGAAGAAUGUGCUUUCUUUAUAAACAGUAGCCUGUUUCUUAAUGUGAUCUUUAUUGCAGUGUCUGUUUCUGUAAGUGUGCGUGUUCAUGGAUAUCUCUGUUCAUCCAUCUGUGGUCUGCUGGUGAGAAUCCUGCCUCCCUCUUGCUCCCCCUCACCCCCACCUGUGUCUAGGAAUUGUUUGAGCCCAGGGAGUCCUAAGGGUGUGUGUGUGUGUGUGGAGAUUCCUGACAUCACAAGGAUAUCUUCUUUUGUGCCAUGGUGGAUAGUGGCGGUUGGGAGCAUGGUGGCCAUGCAGGGAAUUAAGUGGGGGGCAAGAGAACAGCUGAGAGAGGAGCGAUGUGCAGCUAUGAGAGUUUGA
RNAcentral lists this long non-coding RNA (1138 nucleotides) under Monodelphis domestica (gray short-tailed opossum). RNAcentral's name for it is "lncRNA (ENSMODG00000047441.1)". Lineage: Eukaryota; Metazoa; Chordata; Mammalia; Didelphimorphia; Didelphidae. The record is from RNAcentral.